GGGAGGGUAGUCUAGCUUGGUAUGAUUCUUGGUUUGGGACCAAGGGGCCGAGGGUUCAAAUCCCUCCCCUCCCA
This 74-nucleotide transfer RNA is filed under the name Promethearchaeota archaeon. RNAcentral describes it as "Candidatus Lokiarchaeota archaeon (permafrost metagenome) tRNA-Pro". It matches the Rfam family "tRNA". Rfam says of the family: Transfer RNA (tRNA) molecules are approximately 80 nucleotides in length. Their secondary structure includes four short double-helical elements and three loops (D, anti-codon, and T loops). Further hydrogen bonds mediate the characteristic L-shaped molecular structure. tRNAs have two regions of fundamental functional importance: the anti-codon, which is responsible for specific mRNA codon recognition, and the 3' end, to which the tRNAs corresponding amino acid is attached (by aminoacyl-tRNA synthetases). tRNAs cope with the degeneracy of the genetic code in two manners: having more than one tRNA (with a specific anti-codon) for a particular amino acid; and 'wobble' base-pairing, i.e. permitting non-standard base-pairing at the 3rd anti-codon position. Lineage: Archaea; Promethearchaeati; Promethearchaeota. The record is from RNAcentral.